UAUUAGGUUGGUGCAAAAGUAAUUGUGGUUUUUGCCAUUAAAAGUAAUGACAAAACCCACAAUUACUUUUGCGUCAACCUAAUA
This 84-nucleotide microRNA precursor is filed under the name Pan paniscus (pygmy chimpanzee). RNAcentral describes it as "mir-548 microRNA precursor family". It matches the Rfam family "mir-548 microRNA precursor family". The record is from Rfam by way of RNAcentral. Lineage: Eukaryota; Metazoa; Chordata; Mammalia; Primates; Hominidae. RNAcentral also lists the same sequence under 1 other name.